CUAGUGUAGAGGUGAAAUUCGUAGAUAUUAGAAAGAAUACCAAUUGCGAAGGCAGCUUUCUGGAUCAUUACUGACACUGAGGAACGAAAGCAUGGGUAGCGAAGAGGAUUAGAUACCCUCGUAGUCCAUGCCGUAAACGAUGUGUGUUAGACGUUGGAAAUUUAUUUUCAGUGUCGCAGCGAAAGCAAUAAACACACCGCCUGGGGAGUACGACCGCAAGGUUAAAACUCAAAUGAAUUGACGGGGACCCGCACAAGUAGUGGAGCAUGUGGUUUAAUUCGAAGAUACGCGCAGAACCUUACCAACACUUGACAUGUUCGUCGCGACUUUAAGAGAUUAAAGUUUUCGGUUCGGCCGGACGAAACACAGGUGCUGCAUGGCUGUCGUCAGCUCGUGUCGUGAGAUGUUGGGUUAAGUCCCGCAACGAGCGCAACCCUCACUUUUAGUUGCCAUCAUUUAGUUGGGCACUCUGAAAGAACUGCCAGUGAUAAGCUGGAGGAAGGUGGGGAUGACGUCAAGUCCUCAUGGCCCUUACGUGUUGGGCUACACACGUGCUACAAUGGUAUCUACAACAGGAAGCAAAACGGCGACGUUAAGCAAAUCCUUAAAAGAUACCUCAGUUCGGAUUGCACUCUGCAACUCGAGUGCAUGAAGCUGGAAUUACUAGUAAUCGUGGAUCAGCGUGCCACGGUGAAUGCGUUCCCGGGUCUUGUACACACCGCCCGUCACACCAUGGGAGUUGGUUCUACCUUAAGGCAAGGUUUUAAACCCUUGACCACGGUAUAGUCAGCGACUGGGGUGAAGUCGUAACAAGGUAGCCGUAGGGGAACCUGCGGCUG
This 839-nucleotide ribosomal RNA is filed under the name marine metagenome. Its description in RNAcentral is "bacterial SSU rRNA". It matches the Rfam family "Bacterial small subunit ribosomal RNA", at positions 670 to 1520 of the family's 1533-position model. The record is from RNAcentral.